UAUCCCCUUAAAAGAGCAAAAAUAGAAUUAGACUUUCACCAUUGUUAUCACCAUACACCAUUCAUUUGCCACACAUGCACAUCUUGAUUUGACUUAUUGACUUGUUUCUCUGGAUCCAUGGUUUGACUAUGCAAUAAAUGUCUUGUAAGUAUGUAUGCUUUAUCUCCCACCUAUGAGCUCCAGAUAUGAAAACCUUAUUAGAGUAGGGUGAGAGAGAAGGCAAUAUCACUAUGCCUCAUACCAGAAAUACCACAUACUUUGAGAGAAGGCAUAUACCAUUACUACC
Molecule: long non-coding RNA, 286 nt
Filed under: Sorghum bicolor (sorghum)
Lineage: Eukaryota; Viridiplantae; Streptophyta; Magnoliopsida; Poales; Poaceae
Description: long non-coding RNA (SBIC_LNC004426)
Source: RNAcentral